This 657-nucleotide ribosomal RNA is filed under the name Triticum aestivum (bread wheat). RNAcentral describes it as "partial small subunit ribosomal RNA". Lineage: Eukaryota; Viridiplantae; Streptophyta; Magnoliopsida; Poales; Poaceae. The record is from RNAcentral.
AUGGCCUGCUACCCUUGCAACCCGCUCCCCCACCUUCCUCCUGGUACGACGAUCAUCCCCGGCCCUCUCCGUGCUCGCCGUGGAUAUGUGGUUCUUAGAGGUGACCUCCCGAUGGUCUGCGAUGAGUGGGCAAUCACCACGCUCGUACCCGAGGUAUCAGCUGAGGAGUUCCAUGGUGCCAUUGCUCUAAUCACGAACUACCUGGAGGGACGUGGAUGGCGCAUCAACUACACUUCCCGCUGUGGUAUGGGUACUGCUUUGGUUCAGUUUACUAUUGCCUGUUCGCGUGAUACUGCUGUCAGUCUGAGCUCGUUCCAGAUUGGGGACUCUAUUCUUAGGAUUACCAAACAGGAUAGAGGUCUUAAUUACCGCAACAUUACUUUCACACAUGAUGUUUGAAUCCUACUUAUGAAUUAUCCAUUAGAAUGCUAGGAUGUUGGGGUGAUUAGCCGCACUGUUUCACCAUAUGGUCGCUUUUUGAUCUGGAACAAAGACCCAAGGGACAAAGCAAGGGUUAUUGUUAAACUCAGGGUCAUGAAUGUUGACAAUAUUCUUGCUAGUCUAGUUGUACUGAGGAAUCUUGAUGAUGUUGGAUAUGGCGACUCAUGGACUUGCCCAUAUUCUGUCGAGGGACCUGAUUGGUCAGCAAGGGGGUGA